Trichogramma pretiosum is the source of this 295-nucleotide long non-coding RNA. RefSeq lists it as uncharacterized. The record is from RefSeq and is a predicted model, not a curated record. NCBI's taxonomy places the organism in Eukaryota, Metazoa, Arthropoda, Insecta, Hymenoptera, Trichogrammatidae. The transcript is spliced from 3 exons.
CGAGCUCGUCAGGGACGCCAUCACGCCGGCCAUCGUCAAGGUCGCCGAGCAGUCGGAUUCUUGCGUCGCCGACGCAGCAGUGGAUUUGGAAAAAAAUGCACCGCUGAUUGGCGUAGUCGGGCCCGGCUCGAGUUCCGUCGCGCUUCAGGUACAAAAUUUGCUGCAGCUGUUUUCGAUUCCACAGAUCGGCUACUCGUGCACCUCGAGGGACCUGAGCGACAAGAGCAGAUACUCGACUUUCUUGAGGGUCGUGCCGUCCGACUAUUAUCAGGCGCAGCUACUGGUCGAUCUCGUG